UACGGGAGGCAGCAGUGGGGAAUAUUGCACAAUGGGCGCAAGCCUGAUGCAGCCAUGCCGCGUGUAUGAAGAAGGCCUUCGGGUUGUAAAGUACUUUCAGUCAUGAGGAAGGUGUUAAGGUUAAUAACCUUAGCAAUUGACGUUAGCGACAGAAGAAGCACCGGCUAACUCCGUGCCAGCAGCCGCGGUAAUACGGAGGGUGCGAGCGUUAAUCGGAAUUACUGGGCGUAAAGGGCACGCAGGCGGUUAAUUAAGUUGGAUGUGAAAUCCCCGGGCUUAACCUGGGAAUGGCAUUCAAGACUGGUUAGCUAGAGUCUUGUAGAGGGGGUAGAAUUCCAUGUGUAGCGGUGAAAUGCGUAGAGAUGUGGAGGAAUACCGGUGGCGAAGGCGGCCCCUGGGACAAAGACUGACGCUCAUGUGCGAAAGCGUGGGGAGCAAACAGGAUUAGAUACC
RNAcentral lists this ribosomal RNA (453 nucleotides) under uncultured bacterium. Its description in RNAcentral is "bacterial SSU rRNA". It matches the Rfam family "Bacterial small subunit ribosomal RNA", at positions 340 to 786 of the family's 1533-position model. The record is from RNAcentral.